AUAAAUAUCAAUCAAUAGGGCCUAUGGUAGGCAGAAUAAUGCGCCCCCCCCAGAUGUCCACAUCCUGAUCCCCAGAAUCUUUGACUGUGUUACAUGGCAAGAGGGAAUCAAAGUUGCAGAUGGAAUUAAGGUUGUUAACCAACUGACCUUGAGAUGGAGAGAGGAUCCUGAUUAUCCAGGUGGGCCCAAUAUAAUCAUGAGGGUCCUUAAAAGUGGAAGAGGGCUGCAGGAGAGUCGGUGUCGGAGGGAUGUGGCAUGCAAAAGACUAUCUACCAUGGCUGGCUCUAAAGAUGGAAGGAGGCCGUGAGCCAACGGAUGCAGCAUUUCCUAGAAGGUGGAAAAGCCCUGGACUGAGCAGAGGGGAAGCUGGAAUUUAGAUACCAUUUGUGUUCCAGUGGCACAAUCUACAUGAGGAACCUGCAGUUUAUCCUCAUUCUUCACCUUAUAUUUUCUAAUAUGAAGCAGUCCUAAUUCUUUGAGCCAGGGAGAUCCCUUGUUGGGACGUGCCGAGGUGGUCCUGUGACAGGAAAAGAUGCCGCAAUGGACCGAUCCCGGCUUCAUGGGGAAGACUUAUUCCACUAGGACAGGAGCCUGGGGCUGGAUUCUUCUCUAGCCAUGGCCCACCUGGCACUGUGCUAAGCAUUAGGGGGCAAUGGCUGAGCAUGUGAGUGUGAUCUAAAAGAGAAGUGUCUUCAGAGCUCAGGGGGACGCUGAGGGGGUGAUGGGAUGAAAAGAGCUGAAUCAAUAGGAGUAUUGUAGCAAUCACGAACAAAUCUCCUGACAUCAGAAUGUGCAGGACCCACCUGUAACUUCAUGUGGCGUAGACCCAAAGCGCAGCAUUAGUGGACUGGUCACAAUUCCCAGUUUUCUCUCUCUUCUGGCUUUUUGCAGCAGGACCAGCUUUGAACUAAGCCCCUAGUGUUCCUGCCUAAGUUGGGUGGUUGGGGAGGAGUUGGGAAAUAAGUGGACUUCCUGUCACUGAAGGCAGGUGGGUGCUCAAACAACAAAUUGAAUAAAUAAAAGUGA
RNAcentral lists this long non-coding RNA (1026 nucleotides) under Equus asinus (donkey). RNAcentral's name for it is "lncRNA (ENSEASG00005032252.1)". The record is from RNAcentral. Lineage: Eukaryota; Metazoa; Chordata; Mammalia; Perissodactyla; Equidae.